CCCCACAACUGCCUCACAAGCAUCCCAGAGUCCAGUCAGCAGACAGCAGAAGAGACUGUCAGCAGACCACCUUGGAGGGGAUGCUUGGAGCUGCCUAACGUGUGAUUCAAAGAUGAAUUCCAUGUGUUUGGAGAAGAAGCCCUAGCCUCAACACAAAGGUUGGCCACAUUCCAGCCAAGGUAGCACGGAGUGAAGGCCCGUGGAGGGAGAGCUGGGCUUUUCUGAACUACUUCAGUACACCUUGCUGUGCCUUGGCCUGCCGUGUUUCAUCCCCAUGGCUGUCCUCAGUGAUGUGCAUGGUCACUGCUCCCUUCACCACUGAGAAGACGGGCACAGGACAGUCAGGGGAUGUGUCCAAGGUCCCACAGCAGGAAGGGCUGGAGCCAGAAUGUGGUCUGAGAGGCUGGAUAUACAAAGAGACAAUGGCAUGACCAUCUGUACAAAUGGAACUAUGGCCCACAACCUGCAGCAGCCAGCCCAGGAAGCCAACCCGUCACCUGCAGCAGCCAGGAUGGAUGCUGGCCUGCCCUCAGUUGUACUCACAUCAUUGGUCUUAUGGGGAAAUUUUAAGACCUCCCACUUGUAAGGUUUUAUAGCCCUCUAUGGAAUAUUGAAGAAAGAGUAAAAUGCAUCCAAAAAAAAAAAAAAACACUAAACUGGAUAAAUUCUAAGGCCUCUUCAGGUCUUAAGAUGGCCAUUUUCUAGGUCCUCUUGCUGCAGCAGUGAAAUCCACAAACACGGACAAGUCAGUCAGUUACGUGCCUUUCAGAGAAAACUUCUGACUUAGGAAUUCCAGCUAUUUGGCCCAACCCAUAUUAGAUUGUGUUAUAAAGACAUGGUAAAUUACAUCACGAAGGGAAGAGCAGAGGAAACAUAAUAUUCCUUCAAGACCCAUCAGCUCAGAUGUUAGCAGAACACCCCUAAGGAGGAAAACAAGAAAUUUUGGGUUUGAACUUGGUACUUCCCAGCAGCCCUGGGAGUGGGGUCAGAAGCCCUGCUGGGGGCCAAAGAACUCUGAGGAUCAAAGAUGUUGAGCAUCACCUUAGAGGCCAAAGAUCAGAACAGUGGAGGUGGCCUUUGAAGCCCAACCUGUCUUUCACCAGAGAGUGAGAACGGCCUCUAUUUCCAGGAAGCUCACUGCAGCAAUAAUCAUGAUGCUCUGAGCCUGACAAGGUGAGAAUUUACUUUCAGCACCUGCAAUAGUUUCCUAUUAAAGUUACAUAUGAAACCCUGCCGUCUUGUACCAACUAAUGUUCACACCAGCGUUCCUAUUUUCAAGAUAAAUUGCAAAAUAAAAACUCUUGUUUUCGUUAGCAAAAGAAAACUUCUUUAGGAGGAUAAAAGGGAGAUGAAGAAACAGAAAACACAUCAGCUCUCCAUCCAGAUUACAGAAAGCAGAAAACAUCCUGAAGUGAAUAACAUAGGAAUCGCUCUUUUUCCCCCCUGAGAUAGCAGGUUACUUAUGAGAAACAAGCUUGAAAUCUCUGCACCUGGACCAGCUUCCAGAGGCUUUUGUCCUGACCAGCUGGCUUUGGGGAAGUAAAGGAAACCAGAGAAGAAGAGGCUGAAAGAAUUGGUUUCCACCGUGACCUUUGAACCCUCGGGCGAGUUGUCAGCCUCACUGAGGAUGAGUGUACUCCAUAUCAAGUGAGGUCACUUUACUCGCAAGCUUGUUGUGAGGACUGAAUGAAACCUUUUCUUUUUUCUUGGAGUUUCAGAGCAACGUCCCUGAGCCCAGCCCCACACUGGCUUGAGCCCUGUCGUCGGUCAAGACACGGUGCUUUCUCCCCUCCCCUCUGCACUCCAGCUUACUCUGCAGUCAGGAGGUGGCACCACGAUCCCCUUUAAGACUUUGCCACUUGGGCCAGCUGCGCCCCUGUGAAAUUCCCUGUUUCUAUUGCAGGCCACAAGGACGAGCUGAGAAAUGGCUUCCAGUCACCAUCUAGAUUAGAAAGCCUAUAUUUCAAAUAUAGAUAUAUCAAUUAUGCCUGUAAAAAGACAUUAAAUCCCACAGGGCUGUAAUUCCUAGACUCUACGAAUUUCAUCUUGCACCAAAUUUUAUUAUUUCAUUUAUAAUUCGGAUUCUUCAAAUCUAAGAGUGCCUGGCUCAAAAUUAAAAUACCUACAACUAUGCCAAAACUGGACUCUUUAAUUGCCUUACUGGAACCAGUAGCUGAUUCAAAGCAAAACGAAACAAAAUUCCUCCUUUCUCUGAUUUAGUGAAUCAAUGAUCUAACUGAACUCAUUUUUGGACUGAGUUUGCGGCACUUGCAGCCCUGAGGGACACAUUCCCCCACCACACUGAGCCUGCACUCCCAUCAAUGCAAAUGAACAUUUUGCUUAUUCAGAUUGGGGGGGUGAAGGAAGUCACAAAAGGGUUAAUACAUAUGGCAUUUCAUUGUAAUAUGUACUCACUACUAACUAAAUUAAAAGAGAUGUGAGUUAUUAAAAACUCCAUCUUAAGAAAGUAACAGAAAUCAGAGUUCAGAUUCGUUGUUACUGAGUUUCCAACCAACACCUGUGAGUUAAACCUACGGCCACCCUGAAAACGGUUCAUAUUUUCAAAAGCUUCAUCGAAGAUGAGCUGCACUAAAGAUUCAUAUUACAUAUCAUGCUGCAAUAAGAAAAUCAAAUAAGGCCUUUCCAUAUUCAAUAAUAAAGUUUAAAGAAAAGUAAUAUUUGUUUAGCCAGUUAGCCAGAAAUUAGAUGUAUCAGAAUACAUCAUUCUUUGAGCAUUUUAGAAAAAUCAGGGUAUUUC
Molecule: long non-coding RNA, 2758 nt
Filed under: Homo sapiens (human)
Lineage: Eukaryota; Metazoa; Chordata; Mammalia; Primates; Hominidae
Description: non-protein coding LINC01304:2
Source: RNAcentral